UCCCUGGUGGUUCAGAUGGUAAAAACUCUGCCUGCAAUGCAGAAGACUCAGGUUGGAUCCCUGAGUUGGGAA
Molecule: transfer RNA, 72 nt
Filed under: Ovis aries (sheep)
Lineage: Eukaryota; Metazoa; Chordata; Mammalia; Artiodactyla; Bovidae
Rfam family: tRNA
About the family: Transfer RNA (tRNA) molecules are approximately 80 nucleotides in length.
Source: Rfam by way of RNAcentral